GCCUUGGUCGGAAACCAAGGCACUCUGUCAAAGGAG
RNAcentral lists this non-coding RNA (36 nucleotides) under unclassified sequences. RNAcentral's name for it is "L31-Coriobacteria ribosomal protein leader". It matches the Rfam family "L31-Coriobacteria ribosomal protein leader". The record is from RNAcentral.